UGGGGAAUUUUGGACAAUGGGCGAAAGCCUGAUCCAGCAAUGCCGCGUGUGUGAAGAAGGCCUUCGGGUUGUAAAGCACUUUUGUCCGGAAAGAAAUCCUUGGCUCUAAUACAGUCGGGGGAUGACGGUACCGGAAGAAUAAGCACCGGCUAACUACGUGCCAGCAGCCGCGGUAAUACGUAGGGUGCAAGCGUUAAUCGGAAUUACUGGGCGUAAAGCGUGCGCAGGCGGUUUGCUAAGACCGAUGUGAAAUCCCCGGGCUCAACCUGGGAACUGCAUUGGUGACUGGCAGGCUAGAGUAUGGCAGAGGGGGGUAGAAUUCCACGUGUAGCAGUGAAAUGCGUAGAGAUGUGGAGGAAUACCGAUGGCGAAGGCAGCCCCCUGGGCAAUACUGACGCUCAUGUACGAAAGCGUGGGGAGCAAACAGGAUUAGAUACCCUGGUAGUCCACGCCCUAAACGAUGUCAACUAGUUGUUGGGGAUUCAUUUCCUUAGUAACGUAGCUAACGCGUGAAGUUGACCGCCUGGGGAGUACGGUCGCAAGAUUAAAACUCAAAGGAAUUGACGGGGUCAUAGCUGUUUCCU
RNAcentral lists this ribosomal RNA (584 nucleotides) under uncultured bacterium. RNAcentral describes it as "partial 16S ribosomal RNA". It matches the Rfam family "Bacterial small subunit ribosomal RNA", at positions 355 to 1375 of the family's 1533-position model. The record is from RNAcentral.